CUGUCCGACCCUAGUGCAGCUGUAAACAAGCGGGCCAAAUCUGCUGGCUACAUGAUAUGACGAUAACGCCGUAGUCUGAAGCAGCCAACAAGUUCUACAUUUCUAGCAACAUUCUAUCAAGCACGAACUGGCUACAUAGAACGUUGAUAUUCAUAAAUAAAUCCAACCCACUUCAAUAGGUCUGAACACAGUCUGUGGGCGAGCAGAAUGUCUAGCUGACGGCUCUCCACGCAGGAGUGUGAUGAUUUGUAACUAUGCAGCACAAAUAUGGCCAUCGGAGUCUGAUGUUUCUGCUUGGCUCUUCCUAAGGACUUGUCCUUCACCAGCCUCAUCCAACCUCAACACAACAUAGCAAUUCUUAAUUGCUAUUAUAACACUUGUUUGGGGGGGGGGGGGGG
Molecule: long non-coding RNA, 398 nt
Organism: Oncorhynchus masou masou (cherry salmon)
Lineage: Eukaryota; Metazoa; Chordata; Actinopteri; Salmoniformes; Salmonidae
Exons: 3
Source: RefSeq, a predicted model, not a curated record